GCGUAGGAAACUACCCAGUAGUGGGGACGAACAGUUGGUAACGAACUGCUAAUACCGCAUACGCUCUACGGAGGAAAGGGGGGCGUUCGGCUCUCGCUAUUGGAUGUGCCUGCGUGAGAUUAGCUAGUUGGUGGGGUAAAGGCCUACCAAGGCAACGAUCUCUAGCUGGUCUGAGAGGAUGAUCAGCCACACUGGGACUGAGACACGGCCCAGACUCCUACGGGAGGCAGCAGUGGGGAAUAUUGGACAAUGGGCGCAAGCCUGAUCCAGCCAUGCCGCGUGUGUGAAAGAAGGCUUUCG
This 300-nucleotide ribosomal RNA is filed under the name uncultured Thalassolituus sp. Its description in RNAcentral is "bacterial SSU rRNA". It matches the Rfam family "Bacterial small subunit ribosomal RNA", at positions 115 to 420 of the family's 1533-position model. Lineage: Bacteria; Pseudomonadati; Pseudomonadota; Gammaproteobacteria; Oceanospirillales; Oceanospirillaceae. The record is from RNAcentral.